UGCAAAGACUAGGAGACAGCUCAUGCAUAUGGGCAGCUACCUGAAGGAAGCCCCAAAGGAAUCACUGACGAUAGGGCUACUCUUUACAUUAAUGGAACUCCUCAGUGACAAAACUGAUACUCCACUUAGGCAAAGAGUGCCAAGAAGCUGCAAAUGUUUCAACGCUCCCCGUAUCAUUUGCAUCCCAGAGGUUAAAGAAGAUUAGAAGGGGG
Long non-coding RNA from Gopherus flavomarginatus (Mexican gopher tortoise), 212 nucleotides. RefSeq lists it as uncharacterized. NCBI's taxonomy places the organism in Eukaryota, Metazoa, Chordata, Testudines, Testudinidae. The transcript is spliced from 3 exons. The record is from RefSeq and is a predicted model, not a curated record.